AACGAACGCUGGCGGCAGGCUUAACACAUGCAAGGUCGAACGGUUGUAGCAAUACAGCAGUGGCAGACGGGUGAGUAACACGUGGGAACCUUCCUAGGGGGUACGGAACAACUCAGGGAAACUUGAGCUAAUACCGUAUACGUCCGUGAGGAGAAAGAUUUAUCGCCCUUAGACGGGCCCGCGUCGGAUUAGCUAGUUGGUGGGGUAACGGCCUACCAAGGCGACGAUCCGUAGCUGAUCUUAGAGGAUGAUCAGCCACACUGGGACUGAGACACGGUCCAGACACCUACGGGUGGCAGCAGUAGGGAAUAUUGCGCAAUGGGCGAAAGCCUGACGCAGCGAUGCCGCGUGAGUGACGAAGGUCUUAGGAUUGUAAAGCUCUUUUCUGAGGGAAGAAUAGGUCUGGUAGGAAAUGACUGGAUUCUGACGGUACCUCAGGAAUAAGGAACGGCUAACUCCGUG
This 462-nucleotide ribosomal RNA is filed under the name uncultured bacterium. RNAcentral describes it as "bacterial SSU rRNA". It matches the Rfam family "Bacterial small subunit ribosomal RNA", at positions 29 to 507 of the family's 1533-position model. The record is from RNAcentral.